RNAcentral lists this ribosomal RNA (494 nucleotides) under uncultured bacterium. RNAcentral describes it as "partial 16S ribosomal RNA". It matches the Rfam family "Bacterial small subunit ribosomal RNA", at positions 28 to 523 of the family's 1533-position model. The record is from RNAcentral.
GAUGAACGCUAGCGGCAGGCCUAACACAUGCAAGUCGAGGGGUAUCCCGCUUUCGGGCGGGAGAGACCGGCGCACGGGUGCGUAACGCGUAUGCAACCUACCCUGUACUGAGGGAUAGCCCGGAGAAAUUCGGAUUAACACCUCAUAGUACUAAUGAAUGGCAUCAUUUAUUAGUUAAAGGUUACGGUACAGGAUGGGCAUGCGUCCUAUUAGCUAGGUGGUAAGGUAACGGCUUACCAUGGCUACGAUAGGUAGGGGGCCUGAGGGGGUGGUACCCCACACGUGUACUGAGACACGGACCAGACUCCUACGGUAGGCAGCAGUGAGGAAUAUUGGUCAAUGGGCGCAAGCCUGAACCAUCCAUGGCGCGUGCAGGAAGACGGUCCUAUGGAUUGUACACUGCUUUUAUUUGGGAAUAACCCUCUUUACGUGUAGAGAGCUGACGCUACCAAAUGAAUAAGCACCGGCUAACUCCGUGCCAGCCGCCGCCGUAA